GCUGGCGGCGUGCCUAACACAUGCAAGUCAACUUGACUGAAGGAGCAAUCUGACAGUAGAGUGGCGCAAGGGUGCGUAACGCGUAAGUAACUUGCCCAAGGUAAGGAAUAACGUCGAGAAAUCGGCGCUAAUACCUCAUAAUGCAGCGGAUCCGCAUGGAUAUGUUGUUAAAGGUUUACCGCCUUGGGAUAGGCUUGCGUCUGAUUAGCUAGUUGGUGUGGUAACGGCACACCAAGGCUACGAUCAGUAACUGGUCUGAGAGGAUGAUCAGUCACACUGGAACUGAGACACGGUCCAGACUCCUACGGGAGGCAGCAGUGAGGAAUAUUGGGCAAUGCUCGAAAGAGUGACCCAGCAACGCCGCGUGGAGGAUGAAGGUAUUCUAUAUCGUAAACUCCUGUGAGAGCAGACGAAAGACAGAUUAUUAAUCUGGAUGACUGUAUGCUCAGAGGAAGCCCCGGCUAACUACGUG
This 472-nucleotide ribosomal RNA is filed under the name uncultured bacterium. Its description in RNAcentral is "bacterial SSU rRNA". It matches the Rfam family "Bacterial small subunit ribosomal RNA", at positions 35 to 507 of the family's 1533-position model. The record is from RNAcentral.